UCCAUUAGCUCUACCUCUGUGCAACUCUCACAUGGUUGCCCACUGAAGCUAAGCAGGGCUGCACCAGGUCAGUACCUGGAUGGGAGACCACAUGGGAAUGCUAGGUUGCUGCCAGAA
Danio rerio (zebrafish) is the source of this 117-nucleotide ribosomal RNA. NCBI's taxonomy places the organism in Eukaryota, Metazoa, Chordata, Actinopteri, Cypriniformes, Danionidae. The record is from Ensembl.